This is a long non-coding RNA of Lotus japonicus, 674 nucleotides long. RefSeq lists it as uncharacterized. The record is from RefSeq and is a predicted model, not a curated record. The transcript is spliced from 2 exons. Lineage: Eukaryota; Viridiplantae; Streptophyta; Magnoliopsida; Fabales; Fabaceae.
CCCAUAUUGAAGUGAACUUCAGCUCGGAGAUUACAAAAUAUUCUAUCCCGUCUACAAAGUGCUCUGUUAGGGUUUUGAAAGAAAGUGUCGUCCUUCUCCCUUUGGGGAGCUUCUCCUCCUCUAGGGAGGUUUUUCUCUCCUGCUUGGUAGGCUUUCUCCCACAAUAGGUGGGUUCUCCUCCACAUUAGGUAAAUUUGUUACCCGAAUAAGUGAGUUUUUCUCUCUUUUGUUAUGGGUUUUCCCUUUACCUUGGCCUCCACCAUCUCCGCCCCCACCGCCACUGCCUCCACCUUGGCCGCCGCCGUCGCUUCCACCAACCGCCGCGAGUUGUGUUGUAGAUCCAGGCUUGCCGCCGCUGUGGGUACUGCUACAACCCAGAUCUGAGGCCAUCUUCAUUUUCGUCCAUCUCUGAGUGGCCUAGGUUGAUAAUGUACUGGAGGUAGAGAUGUGGCUCAUGAGGAGUAGCUUCGGACAGUCUUAGUUUAUGUUAUUAUUAUUAUUAUUAUAAUAAAAUAAGUGUCUUGCUCUGUAAUGUAACACUGGGUAGAUACUUUACGUUACUUUUACAUUUCGGUUGAGAGGAUUUUAUAACCUCUCCUUAUGGAAGUUGUUGAAUAAUUUUCUAAAUUAUGGCGAUGUCGUACUGUUGACGGUCGAAGUGCUUAUGAAAUUCA